'Nostoc azollae' 0708 is the source of this 166-nucleotide regulatory RNA element. It matches the Rfam family "Ribosomal protein L10 leader". From Rfam's summary of the family: This family is a putative r-protein leader autoregulatory structure found in B. subtilis and other low-GC Gram-positive bacteria. NCBI's taxonomy places the organism in Bacteria, Bacillati, Cyanobacteriota, Cyanophyceae, Nostocales, Nostocaceae. The record is from Rfam.
AAAAUUAAAUAAGCAAAGCCGGAGACAGCAGGUACUAACAGCUUAAGAUCCUGCCGAGGUUAAUUUUAACUGACUGAAGUUUGCUCAAUAACAAUGUGAGAACUACAGCAUUAAAAGUACCUCUGUGAAACCCCGGCCAAGAUAGCUGGGGUUUAUUAUUUUCCGC